Molecule: long non-coding RNA, 439 nt
Filed under: Gallus gallus (chicken)
Lineage: Eukaryota; Metazoa; Chordata; Aves; Galliformes; Phasianidae
Source: RNAcentral
AUGGAGCCCAUGGCUGUUCCUUCACACGUGAAGUCCCGUUUCCGUGGGAAAACCCUCUUCUCACUCCUGCCCUGCCGUGUCUCGCUGGAAAGGGCAGCACCUGCUGGCACGCUUGUCUCCAUGUGCUCUGCGUUCUCGAUGUCUAAUGCCUCAAAUUUCUCAAUUACCUGAGAUCGCCUGUUGUUCGGGGUGCUGGGGCUGGGUGGGCUCGGUGGUGGUGGCAGCUGCUGCUCUUCCAGCUUUGAGUCUUGCUUAGUCUUCUCCAAGGAGAAGUAGCCGCUCUCAACACGAGUCUUCCGCCCACAGUCUAUCCGGUCCCCAUUCAUGGAGCUCUCGUCUUCCUUGUUGUCCAGUAUGGGAUCCUUCAGGGAGCUGGCAGCCCCCUGCACCGGGCUCUGUGCUGGGCUGAUGCUGCUGCCCGCAUCUCCUGACUCUUUGC